AACGGAAUGUACCCGAGGAUGAUAUAGCGGACUUCCAAAGCCGAGUAUGAGGGUCGCACUUGCACAAACAACAAGAUGGCUGCCGCCAAAGCUCCCGUCCCCCUAAAAUCUCUUCGACGCCAGGCUGCCCUGCGAACGAAAGGGCUGUCUUGCCGAGGAGCGUGUACCUCGUCAAUUCUUUCCAAAUAUCUGGCCGUUUGAAAUAUUAGUCAGACCAAAUUGAAGAAGUAAUAUAUGCCCACGACCCCUCCUAUCGAUGCACGUAAUCGUCAAAAACAAGAAUCGGAGCACGAGCGAGCAUUAAGCUUCCAAUUAUGGACUCAUGAGAGUGGAGGGAAAGAUAACCUUUUGAAGAUUCUUUUCUUUCAUUUGAUCUCUAUCCGUCAUUUAUCGAGAUGAACAGAAACAACGUAUAAAUAGAAGAAGAUACAGAUGCCAAUGGACAUCUACAAUUAAGUGCCUCAGCCAAUAAGACCUCUUGUGUGCGCUUUCGCAGACACAAAAGAAGGAUCGAACAAAAAGACAGAUCGACAGAUUUCUUCGACUAUAGCUUCCAAAAAAAUCUUGGCAACUCCUGCGCCUUUCAUUACUGCUACCUUUAAAUCCAAGCAUCUUUAUUAGGAAGACACAAAAGACACUAAAUUUACAAUAGGUAAGAAGAGUAUUCGUACUUUAUUUACAAUUAAAGAAUUAUUU
Long non-coding RNA from Vespa velutina, 696 nucleotides. RefSeq lists it as uncharacterized. Lineage: Eukaryota; Metazoa; Arthropoda; Insecta; Hymenoptera; Vespidae. The transcript is spliced from 3 exons. The record is from RefSeq and is a predicted model, not a curated record.